This 494-nucleotide ribosomal RNA is filed under the name uncultured bacterium. Its description in RNAcentral is "partial 16S ribosomal RNA". It matches the Rfam family "Bacterial small subunit ribosomal RNA", at positions 28 to 507 of the family's 1533-position model. The record is from RNAcentral.
GACGAACGCUGGCGGCGUGCUUAACACAUGCAAGUCGAACGGAAAGGCCUGCUUUCCCUUGUGGAUUGCGGGUACUCGAGUGGCGAACGGGUGAGUAACACGUGAGUGAUCUGCCCCCAACUUGGGUAUAAGCCUGGGAAACUGGGUCUAAUUCCCGAUAGGACUGCAGGGUGGUGCCUGUGGUGGAAAACGAUUUUCUAGUGGUUGGGGAUGAGCUCGCGGCCUAUCAGCUUGUUGGUGGGGUAAUGGCCUACCAAGGCGGCGACGGGUAGCCGGCCUGAGAGGGUGGACGGCGACAUUGGGACUGAGAUACGGCCCAGACUCCUACGGGAGGCAGCAGUGGGGAAUAUUGGACAAUGGGCGGAAGCCUGAUGCAGCGACGCAGCGUGGGGGAUGACGGCCUUCGGGUUGUAAACUACUUGAGACCGCGAGGAAGCCACCUGGUUGGAAGGGUGGUGACGGUAGUGGUAGAAGAAGCACCGGCUAACUACGUG